RNAcentral lists this ribosomal RNA (271 nucleotides) under uncultured bacterium. RNAcentral's name for it is "partial 16S ribosomal RNA". It matches the Rfam family "Bacterial small subunit ribosomal RNA", at positions 524 to 794 of the family's 1533-position model. The record is from RNAcentral.
GACGAACCAUGCAAACGUUGUUCGGAUUCACUGGGCUUAAAGGGCGCGUAGGCGGUGCGCCAAGUCCGGGGUGAAAUCUUUCGGCUUAACCGGAAAAUUGCCUUGGAUACUGGCGUGCUCGAAGGGGGUAGGGGUUGCGGGAACUUCCAGUGGAGCGGUGAAAUGCGUUGAUAUUGGAAGGAACGCCGGUGGCGAAAGCGCGCAACUGGACCUCUCUUGACGCUGAGGCGCGAAAGCUAGGGUAGCGAACGGGAUUAGAAACCCGUGUAGU